This is a long non-coding RNA of Symphalangus syndactylus (siamang), 182 nucleotides long. RefSeq lists it as uncharacterized. The record is from RefSeq and is a predicted model, not a curated record. NCBI's taxonomy places the organism in Eukaryota, Metazoa, Chordata, Mammalia, Primates, Hylobatidae.
UCCACGUGAGAACCACAGCAUGGAUGACAUCUUGAUUUCAACUUUGCAAGACCAUGAAAGAGAAUCCAGGUGCUUUGUGCGCAGACUUCUAGCCUGGAGAACUGUGAGGAAGAAGAAACCAGGGGACUUUGAUCAUGUCUGCUGAUGGAACAUACACAGGGAGAAAAAUUGAUUAUGUGAUU